CCCCCUGGACAGAAACUGCACACUCAGAUGCGAAAGUCCGGGGGAGCACACAGGGAUUAGAUACCCCGGUAGUUCACCCCCGUAAACGAUGUCUACUUGGAGGUUGUGGCCUUGAGCCGUGGAUUUAGGAGCUAACGAGUUAAAGUAGACCGCUGGGGAGUACGGUUGCAAGAUUAAAAAUUCAAAUGAAUUGACGGGGGCCCGCACAAGCGGUGGAGCAUGUGGUUUAAUUGAUGCAACGCGAAGAACCUUACCUACUCUUGACAUCCAGAGAACUUAGCAGAGAUGCUUUGGUGCCUUCGGGAACUCUGAGACAGGUGCUGCAUGGCUGUCGUCAGCUCGUGUUGUGAAAUGUUGGGUUAAGUCCCGCAACGAGCGCAACCCUUAUCCUUGUUUGCCAGCGAGUAAUGUCGGGAACUCCAGGGAGACUGCCGGUGAUAAACCGGAGGAAGGUGGGGACGACGUCAAGUCAUCAUGGCCCUUACGAGUAGGGCUACACACGUGCUACAAUGGCGCAUACAGAGGGCGGCCAACUUGCGAAAGUGAGCGAAUCCCAAAAAGUGCGUCGUAGUCCGGAUUGGAGUCUGCAACUCGACUCCAUGAAGUCGGAAUCGCUAGUAAUCGUGAAUCAGAAUGUCACGGUGAAUACGUUCCCGGGCCUUGUACACACCGCCAGUCACACCACGGGAGUAGAGUGCUGAACGAGGCUCAGGAUAAGUCGUAACAAGUAACCAUGCUAGACGUAUUAUGUGC
RNAcentral lists this ribosomal RNA (753 nucleotides) under Vibrio fluvialis. RNAcentral describes it as "bacterial SSU rRNA". It matches the Rfam family "Bacterial small subunit ribosomal RNA", at positions 725 to 1533 of the family's 1533-position model. The record is from RNAcentral. Lineage: Bacteria; Pseudomonadati; Pseudomonadota; Gammaproteobacteria; Vibrionales; Vibrionaceae.